Molecule: small RNA, 29 nt
Filed under: Bombyx mori (domestic silkworm)
Lineage: Eukaryota; Metazoa; Arthropoda; Insecta; Lepidoptera; Bombycidae
Description: ovarian small RNA-13500
Source: RNAcentral
CCACCUCAGCAGGGGCGUCUUCGUCCGGC